This 87-nucleotide transfer RNA is filed under the name Methylophaga sp. Its description in RNAcentral is "tRNA-Leu". It matches the Rfam family "tRNA". Rfam says of the family: Transfer RNA (tRNA) molecules are approximately 80 nucleotides in length. The record is from RNAcentral. Lineage: Bacteria; Pseudomonadati; Pseudomonadota; Gammaproteobacteria; Thiotrichales; Piscirickettsiaceae.
GCCUGGGUGGUGAAAUUGGUAGACACAAGGGACUUAAAAUCCCUCGGCUUUACGGCCGUGCCGGUUCGAUUCCGGCCCUAGGUACCA